RNAcentral lists this ribosomal RNA (496 nucleotides) under uncultured bacterium. RNAcentral describes it as "partial 16S ribosomal RNA". It matches the Rfam family "Bacterial small subunit ribosomal RNA", at positions 28 to 507 of the family's 1533-position model. The record is from RNAcentral.
GAUGAACGCUGGCGGCGUGCCUAAUACAUGCAAGUCGAGCGAACAGACGAGGAGCUUGCUCCUCUGACGUUAGCGGCGGACGGGUGAGUAACACGUGGAUAACCUACCUAUAAGACUGGGAUAACUUCGGGAAACCGGAGCUAAUACCGGAUAAUAUAUUGAACCGCAUGGUUCAAUAGUGAAAGACGGUUUUGCUGUCACUUAUAGAUGGAUCCGCGCCGCAUUAGCUAGUUGGUAAGGUAACGGCUUACCAAGGCAAGGAUGCGUAGCGACCUGAGAGGGUGAUCGGCCACACUGGAACUGAGACACGGUCCAGACUCCUACGGGAGGCAGCAGUAGGGAAUCUUCCGCAAUGGGCGAAAGCUUGACGGAGCAACGCCGCGUGAGUGAUGAAGGUCUUCGGAUCGUAAAACUCUGUUAUUAGGGAAGAACAAAUGUGUAAGUAACUAUGCACGUCUUGACGGUACCUAAUCAGAAAGCCACGGCUAACUACGUG